UAUUUUUGAAGUCUCAAAUAUUUUGGCAGUUACUUGUGUUCAACGAGAUUGGCUUUGGAUAUAUUAUGUUCGUUAUCAUGAAACUACACGUAUCGAUGUAGGUAUAGAUGACCACUUUGUGGUAUAAACUACGACAGAGUGCUCACCCUCAAGAGGAUUCUAUUUUGUGUUCUUAUUAGAAUGUUGAGUCGAUUCGUAUGGUAAUACGAUGAUGUGACCUGAGUAAGUAGGGUGUAUAAUAUUUGUCGUUAGGUACAUAACCUAGUUGACCUUCUUGUGUCGAUGAUGGUAUGGUAUUCUCAAUAAAAGUUAAGGAUAAUUUUCUU
RNAcentral lists this long non-coding RNA (326 nucleotides) under Nicotiana benthamiana. Its description in RNAcentral is "long non-coding RNA (NBEN_LNC032955)". The record is from RNAcentral. Lineage: Eukaryota; Viridiplantae; Streptophyta; Magnoliopsida; Solanales; Solanaceae.